GAUGAACGCUGGCGGCGUGCCUAAUACAUGCAAGUCGAGCGAACAGACGAGGAGCUUGCUCCUCUGACGUUAGCGGCGGACGGGUGAGUAACACGUGGAUAACCUACCUAUAAGACUGGGAUAACUUCGGGAAACCGGAGCUAAUACCGGAUAAUAUAUUGAACCGCAUGGUUCAAUAGUGAAAGACGGUUUUGCUGUCACUUAUAGAUGGAUCCGCGCCGCAUUAGCUAGUUGGUAAGGUAACGGCUUACCAAGGCAACGAUGCGUAGCCGACCUGAGAGGGUGAUCGGCCACACUAGAACUGAGACACGGUCCAGACUCCUGCGGGAGGCAGCAGUAGGGAAUCUUCCGCAAUGGGCGAAAGCCUGACGGAGCAACGCCGCGUGAGUGAUGAAGGUCUUCGGAUCGUAAAACUCUGUUAUUAGGGAAGAACAAAUGUGUAAGUAACUAUGCACGUCUUGACGGUACCUAAUCAGAAAGCCACGGCUAACUACGUG
Molecule: ribosomal RNA, 497 nt
Filed under: uncultured bacterium
Lineage: Bacteria
Description: partial 16S ribosomal RNA
Rfam family: Bacterial small subunit ribosomal RNA
Source: RNAcentral